This 292-nucleotide ribosomal RNA is filed under the name uncultured bacterium. RNAcentral's name for it is "partial 16S ribosomal RNA". It matches the Rfam family "Bacterial small subunit ribosomal RNA", at positions 505 to 796 of the family's 1533-position model. The record is from RNAcentral.
GUGCCAGCAGCCGCGGUAAUACAGAGGGGGCAAGCGUUAUUCGGAAUUACUGGGCGUAAAGGGCGCGUAGGCGGUUCUUUAAGUCGGAUGUGCAAUCCCCGAGCUCAACUUGGGAACUGCAUCCGAAACUGGGGAGCUAGAGUGCUGGAGAGGGUGGUGGAAUUCCACGUGUAGCGGUGAAAUGCGUAGAGAUGUGGAGGAACACCAGUGGCGAAGGCGGCCACCUGGACAGUAACUGACGCUGAGGCGCGAAAGUGUGGGUAGCAAACAGGAUUAGAAACCCUGGUAGUCC